AUGCAGCGACCUGGGAUUUGUUCUCUCCCAGUAGCAGAGGUGUGGAAUGAUAAAUUACAUUGCACCAGUGAUGCAGUUAAUCAAAUCCCUGCUUCCAGUUCUGUAUGGGAUGUCAGACAUGCUAACGGGACAACUAAUCAAGCAAAGGAUUCUAAUAACUCUGCUCAUGCAGCAAUAAAUUCUCAUCAAGGGCCAGAAGAUACUAGCAGACGUAAUCAAUGUAAGAACAGAUUUAGUCCUCAGCUCACCAUCCAGAGGCGUGUGAAAAGGAAAAUUAAGAGAAACUAUACGAGCGAUAACGGCAAAGAAUACUCAACACUGGCAUGUAACCCACAAAGUUUACCAAUUAAUGCUACACCCUUGCUCAAAGUAACCAAUGGCGAUUUUUUUGAUACUGCAGAUAAGGUAGCUAAAGAAGGAACAAGUACCGGACUAACCGUAUCAGCUCAACGCUUGCUUGCCGAAAAAAGUUCACGCAUGCUAAAAUCUACACUGCAGCAUAUAGUUUCCACACGGCAUAUUGAAGAUGCAAGAGCGGAGGACUGGAGCAAAACUCUAGGUCGUGUUGUUGAAGCAGCAGAAGCUGUUGAAAUGAAGGAAUUACAUGAUGAUCUUCCAGAAUCCGAAGGUUCAACAAAACAUAUUCCAAUCAUUGUCUUGGAUGGUGAUAAUGAUGAGAGGGCCAGGGGUAAACUGCCAGAAAAUUCAAAGGUGGUUCAGGAGGAAAACAAAAGCAGAUUUAAUUUAGGGAAGAUCAACCUGAAUUCUGUCGAAUUACCUCGAGAGAGGCUUCACGGCCUGGAUGACUCAUCUGUUCAAAGGCUGACAGAUCAGGGUCAUUUUGUUACUGGACAAAAACAAGUUUCUCAACCAAUUGAAAGGCUAUUUUUUACGAAGGAGAAAGAUGAUGUACAUGGUAAAGAACAACAUCAAGAGGGAACACCAGCAUUGCAUACCUUAUACUCAAAUUUGUAUGAUCCGCCUCUGUCAAGGAAAUCAGGGAAUUCGAAGGAACCAAAGAGCAUGCCUUCAGAACUGAAAUUCAGAAUAAUGGAUAAUGCUCCUGAGUCCAGUUUAGACUGCCGCUUGGAUAGUUUCCAAUACAGUGGCAAGUCCAGUGGCAUUCAUUUGCUGACAGAAAGGAUCAACACAUACUCCUGCAAAAGACACCAGGUUCCCUGGUCGGAAGAAGAGUUAGAUUUUCUGUGGAUUGCAGUGAGGAGGUAUGGAACGAGUAACUGGAAUGCAAUGCUGAGGGAUACACGGCUACGAUUCUCAAGCUCAAGAAUGUCUGAGGAUCUUUCUGAACAAUGGAGCAAGGAGCAAAAGAAACUUCUAUCUGUGGACCUUCAAUCAAUCAGAGCAUCUGCUCUAGGUUCUACACCGCCACCCCAUAUAGCUGAAGAUUAUGCUGGAAGCAAUUCCUGCACCGGAAGCUCAAAGUCUCCAUUUCUUGCAGCCCAAUCAGACCUUUCCUUGGGCGAGGUGCACCUUCAGAAUGCUCAUGCUUUGGAUAGAGGCCAGCAUUAUUUGUCAAGCCUUGGCAGGUUUAACCUUCAUGGAGUCAACAAUGUGCCAAGAAAUUUGCCUCUGGGAGGCUUCCCUGGUUCUUCCUCACAGGGGAGAAAUGGGAGCAGGCGUAGGAAGACAACCAAGCUUGAAAAGUCAUACUAUGACAACAGGUCACACUGGUGCCAAGAACUAUCAGAGAGGACGUCGUCUAUGCUCCUUCCCAUCAAUCAACAACCAAUGAACAGCCUUUCUCAGUGGCCUACCAAGGGCGCCGACACCGGUAAAAGCUGGCUCAACCCCGAGAUGUGGUCAAGCGCAUCGCAGGCGCUAGGCCAGUCCACUGCAGAACCACUGCAUGACAACCUGAGAGCUGCCCACUUUCUGUUCCCUGACGACAAGAAACCACAUGACAUGCCAGACAUCUUUGAAGCUGGCGCUGAAGUGGAAAGCGGAGUGGCGCAGUCUAGCAAGAAGCUUUUCUGGACCAGCGGUGACACCUUGGUUCAAAACCAGAGGGCCGCUGCUAUAGCGGCAGGGCCAAGCGGCGCCAACCCGAGCGACACCGGCGCAUCGUCUGAAGGGACGGUGUCUGAUAGCUGA
RNAcentral lists this ribosomal RNA (2112 nucleotides) under Triticum aestivum (bread wheat). RNAcentral describes it as "partial small subunit ribosomal RNA". Lineage: Eukaryota; Viridiplantae; Streptophyta; Magnoliopsida; Poales; Poaceae. The record is from RNAcentral.